AUUUCUGAAUUAUUCAGUGUUGUCCACGUACUAGUUGUCAUAAACAGACUUUCGAUCUCUUUAUGAUGGCAGUACAGCAGAUCACUUAAGGAUUGCUAAGACAUGAAUUAACGUUUCUAACACUUGACAAAGUUACAACAUCCUACGUUGAAAAUGGACUAGACGAUACUGAUAAUAAUAAUGGUUUUAUGCAAAGUACGAGUAAUGGAUUGCAGUGCAACAGAUCACUCAACGGUUGCUGAGCAUGAAUUAACAUUUUUAGCGCUUGGAAUAGUUUCAACAUCCUAUGUUUAAUAUGGAUUAGAAGAUUGCAGUACAGCAGAUCUUUCAAGCCAUGAUGAAACAUGAAUUAUCGUUUUUAGCACUUGGGAAAAUUUGGACAUCCCAUGUUAAAAUUUGACUAGACAAUACUGAUAAUAAUAACAAUAAUGGUAUUUUGAAUG
Rhopalosiphum maidis (corn leaf aphid) is the source of this 443-nucleotide long non-coding RNA. RefSeq lists it as uncharacterized. NCBI's taxonomy places the organism in Eukaryota, Metazoa, Arthropoda, Insecta, Hemiptera, Aphididae. The record is from RefSeq and is a predicted model, not a curated record. The transcript is spliced from 4 exons.